RNAcentral lists this ribosomal RNA (389 nucleotides) under uncultured bacterium. RNAcentral's name for it is "bacterial SSU rRNA". It matches the Rfam family "Bacterial small subunit ribosomal RNA", at positions 39 to 450 of the family's 1533-position model. The record is from RNAcentral.
GAAUUCGAUUCAGGCCUAACACAUGCAAGUCGAACGAACCCUUCGGGGUUAGUGGCGCACGGGUGCGUAACGCGUGGGGAUCUGCCCUUUGCUUCGGAAUAACAGUUAGAAAUGACUGUUAAUACCGGAUGAUGUCGAAAGACCAAAGAUUUAUCGGCAAAGGAUGAACCCGCGUAGGAUUAGCUAGUUGGUGGGGUAAAGGCCUACCAAGGCGACGAUCCUUAGCUGGUCUGAGAGGAUGAUCAGCCACACUGGGACUGAGACACGGCCCAGACUCCUACGGGAGGCAGCAGUGGGGAAUAUUGGACAGUGGGCGAAAGCCUGAUCCAGCAAUGCCGCGUGAGUGAAGAGGGCCUUAGGGUUGUAAAGCUCUUUUACCAGGGAUGAUA